This 441-nucleotide ribosomal RNA is filed under the name uncultured bacterium. RNAcentral describes it as "partial 16S ribosomal RNA". It matches the Rfam family "Bacterial small subunit ribosomal RNA", at positions 338 to 795 of the family's 1533-position model. The record is from RNAcentral.
CCUACGGUGUGCUGCAGUCGGGAAUAUUGCGCAAUGGAGGAAACUCUGACGCAGUGACGCCGCGUGCAGGAAGAAGGUUUUCGGAUUGUAAACUGCUUUAGACAGGGAAGAAAAAAGACAGUAACUGUAGAAUAAGCUCAGGCCAACUACGUGCCAGCAGACGCGGUAAUACGUAGGGAGCAAGCGUUAUCCGGAUUUAUUGGGGGUAAAGGGUGCGUAGGCGGAGAAGCAAGUUAGUUGUGAAAUCCCUCGGCAUAACUGAGGAACUGCAACUAAAACUACUUCCCUUGAGUACUGGAGAGGAAAGUGGAAUUCCUAGUGUAGCGGUGAAAUGCGUAGAUAUUAGGCAGAACACCAGUGGCGAAGGCGACUUUCUGGACAGUAACUGACGUUGAGGCACGAAAGUGUGGGGAGCAAACAGGAUUAGAUACCCGAGUAGUC